UGAAAAGUCCCGCAGGCA
RNAcentral lists this transfer RNA (18 nucleotides) under Takifugu fasciatus (obscure pufferfish). Its description in RNAcentral is "partial tRNA-Phe". Lineage: Eukaryota; Metazoa; Chordata; Actinopteri; Tetraodontiformes; Tetraodontidae. The record is from RNAcentral.